Molecule: ribosomal RNA, 253 nt
Filed under: uncultured bacterium
Lineage: Bacteria
Description: partial 16S ribosomal RNA
Rfam family: Bacterial small subunit ribosomal RNA
Source: RNAcentral
UACGUAGGGACCAAGCGUUGUCCGGAAUCAUUGGGCGUAAAGAGCGUGUAGGCGGCUUGUUAAGUCUUGCGUGAAAUCUCGGGGCUCAACCCCGAGCGGUCGUGAGAAACUGGCAGGCUAGAGUGCGGGAGAGGAGAGUGGAAUUCCUGGUGUAGCGGUGAAAUGCGCAGAUAUCAGGAGGAACACCGGUGGCGAAGGCGGAUCUCUGGGCCAUUACUGACGCUGAGGAGCGAAAGCGUGGGGAUCGAACAGG